RNAcentral lists this ribosomal RNA (279 nucleotides) under uncultured bacterium. RNAcentral describes it as "partial 16S ribosomal RNA". It matches the Rfam family "Bacterial small subunit ribosomal RNA", at positions 506 to 784 of the family's 1533-position model. The record is from RNAcentral.
UGCCAGCCGCCGCGGUAAUACGUAAGGUGCAAGCAUUAUCCGGAAUUAUUGGGCGUAAAGCGUCCGCAGGCGGUUUGACAAGUCAGUUAUUAAAUACCGGAGCUCAACUUCGGUGCUGUAACCGAAACUGUUAAACUAGAAGGUAGGAGGGGUGUGUAGAAUGCUACAAGUAGGGGUAAAAUCCGUAGAUAUGUAGUGGAAUACCAAAAGCGAAGGCAGCACACUGGACUAUUCUUGACGCUCAGGGACGAAAGCGUAGGUAGCAAAACGGAUUAGAUA